CCUACGGGAGGCAGCAGUGAGGAAUAUUGGUCAAUGGGCGCGAGCCUGAACCAGCCAAGUCGCGUGAAGGAUGACUGCCCUACGGGUUGUAAACUUCUUUUAUAAAGGAAUAAAGUGAGGCACGUGUGCCUUUUUGUAUGUACUUUAUGAAUAAGGAUCGGCUAACUCCGUGCCAGCAGCCGCGGUAAUACGGAGGAUCCGAGCGUUAUCCGGAUUUAUUGGGUUUAAAGGGAGCGUAGAUGGGUUGUUAAGUCAGGUGGGAAAGUUUGCGGCCAAACGGUAAAAUUGCAAUUGAUACUGGCAGCCUUGAGUGCAGAUGAGGUAGGCGGAAUUCGUGGUGUAGCGGUGAAAUGCUUAGAUAUCACGAAGAACACCGAUUGCGAAGGCAGCUUACUAAACUGCCACUGACGCUGAUGCUCGAAAGUGUGGGUAUCAAACAGGAUUAGAUACCCGGGUAGUC
RNAcentral lists this ribosomal RNA (460 nucleotides) under uncultured bacterium. RNAcentral describes it as "partial 16S ribosomal RNA". It matches the Rfam family "Bacterial small subunit ribosomal RNA", at positions 338 to 795 of the family's 1533-position model. The record is from RNAcentral.